AACCUUUUGACCAUCGCAGCACUGCAGGGGUAAGGCAGGGACCAGGCAGGGACCAGGAGGGCCGGCGGAGGGGGAGGUACGAAAAGUUUCCCCUGCUGGAGACUCAUAAGGAGCUGUAGGACCGGCCCACACAAUGCAGUUACAGCCCAUGCAUGACACAAGGCUGUAAGCCAUCUCAACUACUCAGAGAAGAACGCAUCUCCCUCAAAUUCAGGCCUGUUUUUAAUACCCUGCGUGAUUCGACACGAAGCCCAACUCCAUGGAUCGAGAAAGGUGCAUGUUGUUCAAGAUGGCUGCAACAGCGCUGAUUCAAACCUGUGUUAGCAGGAAGAUACAUUCCUGUCGUGAGCAGAUGAACGGACCUUCAGAAAAGUGAACACCCGCAACUUCUGUUGUCAUCUUCCCUUGUGGUGAUGGAAGCCAACAUUAAGCCAGUGGACAAAACCAGCCUUUAAACAUGAAAACAACAACAACAACUGGAGAGUCAGAUGUUCCCUCUCUCAGCGAGGUGUCUGGCUGAAGAAAAACAACAUUACUGAAAUGCGGAACAAGAUCACAAAAGCGUUAUUGCUGUUUGACAAGCUUUGGAAAUAUUUGGAUAUGAGCCUGCUUGCUUUGGAAAAUUCCUUCCCACGGUUUCAUCCAAUUAUUUAUAAUCUAUUCUUUACAGAUGAUACAUGUAACACACACUAGUAGUUCUGGGUAGUGAUAUUGAUUUGCUAAAAGCUGUGAAAAGACCUCAUAUUAUCUUGUACUGGAAAAAACAUAAAGCUGUGCCAUUUUGGCUUUUCCUUUUG
Micropterus salmoides (largemouth bass) is the source of this 797-nucleotide long non-coding RNA. RefSeq lists it as uncharacterized. The transcript is spliced from 3 exons. The record is from RefSeq and is a predicted model, not a curated record. Lineage: Eukaryota; Metazoa; Chordata; Actinopteri; Centrarchiformes; Centrarchidae.